UGGGGAAUCUUGCACAAUGGGCGAAAGCCUGAUGCAGCGACGCCGCGUGAAGGAUGAAGGUCUUCGGAUUGUAAACUUCUGUUAAGUGGGGCGAAAAGCCUCUUUCUAAUACAGAGAGGAAAUGACAGUACCACUAGAGAAAGCACCGGCUAACUUCGUGCCAGCAGCCGCGGUAAUACGAGGGGUGCAAGCGUUAUCCGGAAUUAUUGGGCGUACAGGGCGCGUAGGCGGCAUGUUAAGUCUGUUGUUAAAUAUCCCGGCCUAACUGGGAAAAGGCAAUUGAUACUGAUGUGCUUGAGGGUGGAAGAGAGAAGCGGAAUUCUCGGAGUAGCGGUAAAAUGCGUAGAUCUCGAGAGGAACACCGAUGGCGAAGGCAGCUUCUUGGUCCAUACCUGACGCU
RNAcentral lists this ribosomal RNA (400 nucleotides) under uncultured bacterium. Its description in RNAcentral is "bacterial SSU rRNA". It matches the Rfam family "Bacterial small subunit ribosomal RNA", at positions 355 to 747 of the family's 1533-position model. The record is from RNAcentral.